This 230-nucleotide ribosomal RNA is filed under the name uncultured bacterium. RNAcentral describes it as "partial 16S ribosomal RNA". It matches the Rfam family "Bacterial small subunit ribosomal RNA", at positions 15 to 237 of the family's 1533-position model. The record is from RNAcentral.
GAUCAUGGCUCAGGAUGAACGCUAGCUACAGGCUUAACACAUGCAAGUCGAGGGGCAGCAUCAUUAAAGCUUGCUUUGAUGGAUGGCGACCGGCGCACGGGUGAGUAACACGUAUCCAACCUGCCGACAACACUGGGAUAGCCUUUCGAAAGAAAGAUUACUACCGGAUGGCAUAGUCUUCCCGCAUGGGAUGACUAUUAAAGAAUUUCGGUUGUCGAUGGGGAUGCGUU